Molecule: long non-coding RNA, 796 nt
Organism: Astatotilapia calliptera (eastern happy)
Lineage: Eukaryota; Metazoa; Chordata; Actinopteri; Cichliformes; Cichlidae
Source: Ensembl
CCCAGCGUAAAGCACAAGGCUGGCGUGCAGAGUGAAGCGGAAAAAAAGUGCGAGAGAGAGGGUGAGAGAAAGAAAAAAACAAAACAAAAACACGGCUCACGAUAAGGAGCCUGAUCGCGUCGUUCAUGUCAAAGACCCAGCUCUAAGAACCAUUUCGUUUGCGACAGACACAUCACUACUGCCUGCGAGUUUGCUGCAGACAGAGGAGAGCUUAAGUUUUACCAGUUCCAUCGUUACACCACCGCUCCAACUGAACUCGCCUUUUGGAUACUGGUUAUAACUAUCAUUGGAAUUACACCACACUCCAAUCUCUAGGAGGGAAAUUUCCACAACUCACUGCCAGCCCUUCUUCCACCGUCACUCACAGGGAAUCCUGGAAUCCAGAAAACAACAAUGGUGGAGUUUGCGUUCUCUAGUCGCAUGACAGUGGGCGAAACAUUUCAUCACUCACCCUAAUGACUUCUUCAGUCAAUCGCUCAAGUACGGCAUCAGUCCUCCCAGCACGCCAGGCUCUGUGCUUUCGUUUUCUCCUCAUCAUUGUACAUUUACCCUGUCACUGCAAAUAGCUCUCACCUUUGUAAAUACCCCGUCACUGUAAAUAAACCUAAUUCACUGCACUCCCGAGCCUCUGUGUGUUUCUGUCACAUGAGUCCACCCUUUAGAGUCACCUAACAGGAUUGGAUAUCGGGGAGAAAUAAAAAUAUGUAACCCAAUCCAAUAAAUAUCACAAAAAAACCUCACAAAACUUGUGACAUGGCAUAACCAAGGUCAUGACCUUAGCACAUCGGAACAGUAU